This 512-nucleotide ribosomal RNA is filed under the name uncultured bacterium. RNAcentral's name for it is "bacterial SSU rRNA". It matches the Rfam family "Bacterial small subunit ribosomal RNA", at positions 29 to 530 of the family's 1533-position model. The record is from RNAcentral.
AGUGAACGCUGGCGGCAGGCCUAAUACAUGCAAGUCGAACGGCAGCACAGUGGAGCUUGCUCCAUGGGUGGCGAGUGGCGGACGGGUGAGGAAUACAUGGGAAUCUGCCCAGUCGUGGGGGAUAACGUAUGGAAACGUACGCUAAUACCGCAUGCGCCCUUCGGGGAAAGUCGGGACCGCAGGCCUGACGCGAUUGGAUGAGCCCAUGUUCGAUUAGCUAGUUGGCGGGGUAACGGCCCACCAAGGCGACGAUCGAUAGCUGGUCUGAGAGGAUGAUCAGCCACACUGGAACUGAGACACGGUCCAGACUCCUACGGGAGGCAGCAGUAGGGAAUAUUGGACAAUGGGCGCAAGCCUGAUCCAGCCAUGCCGCGUGAGUGAAGAAGGCCCUCGGGUUGUAAAGCUCUUGUUCGGAGUAGGACGAUAGGUAUACGAGUUAAGUAACUUCGAAGUUACCGAAGUAGUAACGGUACCGUACCGGAACGGUAAACGUUCGACCGGCCUAACGUCCG